This 1070-nucleotide long non-coding RNA is filed under the name Phoenix dactylifera (date palm). RNAcentral's name for it is "long non-coding RNA (PDAC_LNC013467)". The record is from RNAcentral. Lineage: Eukaryota; Viridiplantae; Streptophyta; Magnoliopsida; Arecales; Arecaceae.
GAGGAGGGGGAAUUGAGGGGAGAAGAAGAAGAACAACGGUAGGGCCAUGAAAUUGCGAAGAGGAGAGGAGAGGAGUAGGGCAGCGGAGGACCAUGGUAGGGUGAUGGAAGUCUCUCUUUUGGUAUAUAGAAAAAUUAAGUAUAAUUUGUGUGUUGGGUGAUUGGUGAUUCAAGGGCUAUCUCAAGGUAGCACCUAAAAUCAAAAAAAAAUGAUAAGUAGAGCUAAGACUAACUCGGGUUAGCAUCUAGACUAUUUCAAGACAAAGUUUGAGCAAAGUGCUUCAGGUUUUUUCAUUGAUCCAAAAAUAUCCAUACAAAAUAUAAGAGGCAAAUAUUUAAAGGACCUCCUAAAGAUCUCAACAACUUUCUAGAUUAAUGGGCAAUUCAAAUUUUACUUUCAAAUUCCCUAAAUUAAAGAAAAGUAAUCCUCCUUAAAUCAAGGAGUACAUCAAAAUCAAACUUUCUAAAAUAAAAGACUCCAUAAGCAAGUAAACUGCCCAAACCAAUUCCCACGCCCACAAUCAAGAAAUUUCCUUCUAAAAUCCUACUCUUAGAAAAUAGGAAUGCGCGUCCUUAGUCUCUCCUUCUUCCAAACACUUUCCUUCAUUUCGGCCACGAAGAAUUGCACCCAGCUCCCAUCCAGAAAAAACCAAAAUUUUUGGAUCUAAGCCCAGCCUGUUGACAAAAUAAUUUAGGACGGGCUCGCUUAGGGGCAUGGCUUGGACGUUUCCAACCUUUAUUAUUACCCAAGAAGUUCUUUAUUCUUCACCUCCAGGAGUCUAGGGGUUGUUGCAUCCCAUUUUUGGAAAGUUAUGCUGGAAUGUUUUAAUAGCUUCCUAUGCAGCUUGCAAAUUAAAUUAGGGAAUGGUGUUCCCUAGCUCCCCUCCAGCACUACAAUUGCCACCAACUUCCCUUCUUUGCCUUUGCUUGGGAUUCUCCUCUCAAAGGAUCAAAGCAAAAUCAGGGACCCAAAUAUCUCCUCUCAAGCCAUCUAGUCAACAUGCCAUUGGAUCAUUCUAUCGAGAAUGAGCACUCAAACCUGCACUACUAUAUGUUGGACUCUAUCAACAU